CCCUUAGAUGUUCUGGGCCGCACGCGCGCUACACUGACGAUGGCAACGAGUUUUUCCUUCGCCGAAAGGUGUGGGUAAUCUUUUGAAACAUCGUCGUGCUGGGGAUAGAUCAUUGCAAUUUUUGAUCUUGAACGAGGAAUUCCUAGUAAGCGCGAGUCAUCAGCUCGCGUUGAUUACGUCCCUGCCCUUUGUACACACCGCCCGUCGCUACUACCGAUUGAAUGGUCCGGUGAGGCUUUGGGAUCUGAGCGGAAAGAGCGUUUCGCUGUUUCUGCCCGGAAAACUCAGUCGAACCUUAUCAUUUAGAGGAAGGAGAAGUCGUAACA
RNAcentral lists this ribosomal RNA (326 nucleotides) under uncultured eukaryote. RNAcentral's name for it is "partial 18S ribosomal RNA". It matches the Rfam family "Eukaryotic small subunit ribosomal RNA", at positions 1470 to 1796 of the family's 1831-position model. The record is from RNAcentral.